Xenopus laevis (African clawed frog) is the source of this 264-nucleotide long non-coding RNA. RefSeq lists it as uncharacterized. NCBI's taxonomy places the organism in Eukaryota, Metazoa, Chordata, Amphibia, Anura, Pipidae. The transcript has 3 exons. The record is from RefSeq and is a predicted model, not a curated record.
GAACAGCCGGCGACCGUGUGGAGAUUCAUAUCUGCAGCAGUCAGAGCAAGCUGGAGAGCUCUCUCGUCAUCGCGAGAUGAAGAGUAGAAUUUACAGCUAACCAGAGACCAAGUAUUGUGGCGUGUUACUGACAUGAGACAGAACAGCAGGAAGCAAAGACUUCCCACUUCCAGGUGAAUGGUCACGCCAGGAGUCGGUAUCGGUAGAUUGAGAACGUCGACAAUCGGGAGCUGAGCCGGGUCCCGGGUUCGAAAGAUAAGAACG